Molecule: unclassified non-coding RNA, 1389 nt
Filed under: Megachile rotundata (alfalfa leafcutting bee)
Lineage: Eukaryota; Metazoa; Arthropoda; Insecta; Hymenoptera; Megachilidae
Description: uPF0415 protein C7orf25 homolog, transcript variant X4
Source: RNAcentral
CCACGAUAGAUCGGCUGAAACUCGUAGGAAAGAUCGAUGGGGUUGAGAAACUUAUAAGAAAAAUUCAACAGGAGAUUAGAUUUUUAGAAAAGGAAAUGUGAAGAAAGAACAUCUGCAGAGCACGAACUUGAUUCAUUUAAAUGCCAUUGUUGCACGUUUGUUUUGCGCCAACGAACCCACUAAUGUUAUGAAGCCGUUUAAAUAUCAGAAAUCACGUCUGGAAGUAGACAUAGUAUGCAACGGUGGAGCUUCGUGGGUAAAGGUUAUCGCUAGGAAUGCUAGAGCUCUUACUUUGAUCUCUAUGGGCAACGGAGAAUAUGGCCAGAAAUCUGUGCUUGAUCAAGCAUCCAGUUACUUGCAAUGCGCAAAAUGUUAUCCAUAUCUAUAUAGACCACCAGACAUCGUAUUCCAUUUUGCUUAUGGCAUAGAAAUACCUUUAGCCACACGCUUGGAACUUAUGGGAGUAAUUGUUGAAGGAGAUAGAAUUCCAUGCGAGGAAGAAAAAAGCAUAGACAUACAUGAUGUAAAUGAAAAAUUUUCUACGUGGAUGCAUAUGUUAGAAUUCAAUGGAGAAUCAUUAGACGAGUACAAAAGGAAUAGAAAUUCGAAUCUAGACACUCUUAAUAUCUCUUCUCUGGUGACUGAAAUAAAGAUCCUUAAUCUGGAUGUAUCAACUUUACUAGCAUACGUGACAAAUAUGACUAACGGGUAUGAUCAUUUUAUUUAUCGUGAACCGUUACUUACGCAACAAGCAGAAAUGGAGAGAAAACGUCCGGUGAAACCAAUUUUAGAAAACAUAUUUGAAGGUAAAGAACUUAUUGUCUGCCAAACUGCUUACGAAAAUUUCAUGAACAUCAUAGACGUUAUCGGUGGACCUAAGGAGACUGCCAGAGCGAAAGAAUUGUUGAGUAGAGUUCGAAUCGUUAACGAUAUACCCACCGGCAGAAUUGUCGAAAAAUUAAGUUUGGGUGGUAAAAUCAAAGAUAGAUCUAGACUGGUGUUCGCAACUGGCGAGAAUAUGAAAAGUAUCACGGUAUCGGCUAACGAAGGAUUUGUUAGAGCAGCACGUAUGCAGAUUCCUCGAGCAACAGGACAGGCGAAAUCAGACGGUGCAACAUCCACAAUGCGUCGGAGCAGUGUGGUCCUAACGAAAGAUGCCUUCAGAAUUCAAAGGACGAGGAAGCGCAGUGCAUGUGUCAGAAGGGUUACGAGCUGAAGAACAAUCUCUGUACCCUCAUUGCACCCACAGUCGUUGUACCCACCAUGGUUCAACCUGACGUCCAAGUUGACUCGGGAGGUAGUUCUGUAGCUGCUGGUUUGUUAAUACCAACCUUCCUCGUAGUAAUCGGUGUCUUGCUGUACCUUGGCGCGAGACGGUACAAGUGGCUG